GCAGUUAACACAUUAAACAUUCCGCCUGGGGAGUACGGUCGCAAGAUUAAAACUCAAAGGAAUAGACGGGGACCCGCACAAGUGGUGGAGCAUGUGGUUUAACUCGAAGAUACGCGAAGAACCUUACCUAGCCUUGACAUUGAUAGAAUCUUCCAGAGAUGGAGGAGUGCCUUUAGGGGAACUUGAAAACAGGUGCUGCACGGCUGUCGUCAGCUCGUGUCGUGAGAUGUUGGGUUAAGUCCCGCAACGAGCGCAACCCUCGUCACUAGUUACUAACAGUUAGGCUGAGGACUCUAGUGAGACUGCCUUCGCAAGGAGGAGGAAGGUGAGGACGACGUCAAGUCAUCAUGGCCCUUACGGCUAGGGCAACACACGUGCUACAAUGGUUAGGACAGUGAGAAGCGAUACCGCGAGGUGGAGCCAAUCUAUAAACCUAAUCUCAGUUCGGAUUGUAGUCUGCAACUCGACUACAUGAAGCUGGAAUCACUAGUAAUCGUAGAUCAGCUAUGCUACGGUGAAUACGUUCCCGGGUCUUGUACUCACCGCCCGUCACACCAUGGGAGUUGAUUUCACCCGAAGCGGGGAAGCUAAACUGGCUACCCUCCACGGUGGAAUUAGCGACUGGGGUGAAGUCGUAACAAGGUA
This 645-nucleotide ribosomal RNA is filed under the name uncultured bacterium. Its description in RNAcentral is "bacterial SSU rRNA". It matches the Rfam family "Bacterial small subunit ribosomal RNA", at positions 848 to 1498 of the family's 1533-position model. The record is from RNAcentral.